ACAGUGGACGCGAGCAUCUUUGUGGUCAAGUUAUUAAGAGCACAUGGUGGAUGCCUAGGCACCAAGAGCCGAAGAAGGUCGUAGGAGGCUGCGAAAAGCCUCGGGGAGCUGCCAACCGAGCUGAGAUCCGAGGAUUACCGAAUGGGGAAACCCGGCAGGAGUCAUGUCCUGUCACCCACACCUGAACACAUAGGGUGUGCGGAGGGAACGUGGGGAAGUGAAACAUCUCAGUACCCACAGGAAGAGAAAGCAAACGCGAUUCCGUUAGUAGUGGCGAGCGAAAGCGGAAGAGGCUAAACCGAGCGCGCGUGAUAGCCGGCAGGCGUUGCGCGUUCGGGGUCGUGGGAUCAAUCUGACUGUUCUGCCGAACAGUCAGGGAGUAAGAAAGACUCGUGUUAGUCGAAGGACAUUGGAAAAAUCCGGCACAGAGGGUGACACCCCCGUAGACGAAAACACGAAUCCUCCCGAUUGAUAUCCCAAGUAGCAGCGAGCCCGUGAAAUUCGCUGUGAAUCCGGCGGGACCACCCGCUAAGCCUAAAUACUACUUGGUGACCGAUAGCGGACAAGUACCGUGAGGGAAAGGUGAAAAGUACCCCGGGAGGGGAGUGAAAUAGUACCUGAAACCAUGUGCUUACAAGCCGUCGGAGCGAUCCUUGUGAUUGUGACGGCGUGCCUUUUGAAGAAUGAGCCUGCGAGUUAGUGGUAUGUGGCAAGGUUAACCCGUGUGGGGAAGCCGUAGCGAAAGCGAGUCCGAAUAGGGCGAUUCAGUCGCAUGCUCUAGACCCGAAGCGAAGUGAUCUACCCAUGGCCAGGAUGAAGCGACGGUAAGACGUCGUGGAGGUCCGAACCCACUUCAGUUGAAAAUGGAGGGGAUGAGCUGUGGGUAGGGGUGAAAGGCCAAUCAAACUUCGUGAUAGCUGGUUCUCCCCGAAAUGCAUUUAGGUGCAGCGUCGCGUGUUUCUUACCGGAGGUAGAGCACUGGAUGGUCUAGGGGGCCCACAAGCUUACCGAAAUCAACCAAACUCCGAAUGCCAGUAAGUGAGAGCGCGGCAGUGAGACUGUGGGGGCUAAGCUUCAUAGUCGAAAGGGAAACAGCCCAGAUCACCGGUUAAGGCCCCUAAGCGUGUGCUAAGUGGAAAAGGAUGUGGAGUCGCACAGACAGCCAGGAGGUUGGCUUAGAAGCAGCCACCCUUUAAAGAGUGCGUAAUAGCUCACUGGUCAAGUGGUUCCGCGCCGACAAUGUAGCGGGGCUCAAGCACACCGCCGAAACCGUGACAUUCGUGCAUGUGAUCGGCCGCUUAUGCGGUCCAGUCGCACGGAUGGGUAGGGGAGCGUCGUGUGGCGAGCGAAGCGGCGGGGUAACCCAGCCGUGGACGCCACACGAGUGAGAAUGCAGGCAUGAGUAGCGAAUGAGGAGUGAGAACCUCCUCCACCGAAUGACCAAGGGUUCCUGGGCCAGGUUAAUCCGCCCAGGGUGAGUCGGGACCUAAGGCGAGGCCGACAGGCGUAGUCGAUGGACAACGGGUUGAUAUUCCCGUACCCGCGAAAGAGCGCCCAUGACGAGCCCGGUAAUGCUAAGCGCCCGAACCAGCAUUCUCCUUCGGGAGAAGCGCUGGGGAGCGCGCGACCCGAGCCGGUAGUAGUCAAGCGAUGGGGUGACGCAGGAAGGUAGCUCCGCCAGUCAGUGGUAAUACUGGUGUAAGGGUGUAGGUAGUUGGAGUAGGCAAAUCCGCUCCAAUGUUGAUCUGAGACCUGACGCAUAGCCGAUUGAGGCGAAGCAGAGUGAUCCUAUGCUGUCGAGAAAAGCCUCUAGCGAGCUCCUAGCGGCCCGUACCCUAAACCGACACAGGUGGUCAGGUAGAGAAUACCAAGGUGAUCGAGCGAACUAUGGUUAAGGAACUCGGCAAAAUACCCCCGUAACUUCGGGAGAAGGGGGGCCGAGGUGUGUGAAGCCCCUCGCGGGCUAGCACGUUUCGGCCGCAGAGACCAGCGAGAAGCGACUGUUUACUAAAAACACAGGUCCAUGCUAAGUCGCAAGACGACGUAUAUGGACUGACGCCUGCCCGGUGCUGGAAGGUUAAGAGGACCGGUUAGUUCCUUCGGGAGCGAAGCUGAGAAUUUAAGCCCCAGUAAACGGCGGUGGUAACUAUAACCAUCCUAAGGUAGCGAAAUUCCUUGUCGGGUAAGUUCCGACCUGCACGAAUGGCGUAACGACUUCUCGACUGUCUCAACCAUAGGCUCGGCGAAAUUGCACUACGAGUAAAGAUGCUCGUUACGCGCGGCAGGACGGAAAGACCCCGGGACCUUUACUAUAGCUUGGUAUUGGUGUUCGGUUCGACUUGUGUAGGAUAGGUGGGAGACUUUGAAGCAUUCACGCCAGUGAGUGUGGAGUCAACGUUGAAAUACCACUCUGGUCGUACUGGAUAUCUAACCUAGGUCCGUAAUCCGGAUCAGGGACAGUGCCUGGUGGGUAGUUUAACUGGGGCGGUUGCCUCCUAAAGAGUAACGGAGGCGCUCAAAGGUUCCCUCAGCCUGGUUGGCAAUCAGGUUUCGAGUGUAAGUGCAAAAGGGAGCUUGACUGCGAGAUCGACGGAUCGAGCAGGGACGAAAGUCGGAACUAGUGAUCCGGCACCACCUUGUGGAAGGGGUGUCGCUCAACGGAUAAAAGGUACCCCGGGGAUAACAGGCUGAUCUUGCCCAAGAGUCCAUAUCGACGGCAUGGUUUGGCACCUCGAUGUCGGCUCGUCGCAUCCUGGGGCCGGAGUAGGUCCCAAGGGUUGGGCUGUUCGCCCAUUAAAGCGGCACGCGAGCUGGGUUUAGAACGUCGUGAGACAGUUCGGUCCCUAUCCGCCGCGCGCGCAGGAGUCUUGAGAAAGGCUGUCCCUAGUACGAGAGGACCGGGACGGACGAACCUCUGGUGUGCCAGUUGUUCCACCAGGAGCACGGCUGGUUAGCUACGUUCGGAAGGGAUAACCGCUGAAAGCAUCUAAGCGGGAAGCUCGUUUCAAGAUGAGGACUCCCAUCCUUAAUGGAGUAAGGCCCCCGGCAAGACCACCGGGUUGAUAGGCCGGAAGUGGAAGCACGGCAACGUGUGCAGCUGACCGGUACUAAUAGGCCGAGGACUUACCACAAAA
RNAcentral lists this ribosomal RNA (3134 nucleotides) under Nakamurella aerolata. RNAcentral's name for it is "Nakamurella sp. DB0629 23S ribosomal RNA". It matches the Rfam family "Bacterial large subunit ribosomal RNA". The record is from RNAcentral. Lineage: Bacteria; Bacillati; Actinomycetota; Actinomycetes; Nakamurellales; Nakamurellaceae.